This is a long non-coding RNA of Daktulosphaira vitifoliae (grape phylloxera), 1188 nucleotides long. RefSeq lists it as uncharacterized. The transcript has 3 exons. The record is from RefSeq and is a predicted model, not a curated record. NCBI's taxonomy places the organism in Eukaryota, Metazoa, Arthropoda, Insecta, Hemiptera, Phylloxeridae.
UUAUUUUAGUUUAAACACAGUUUUUGUACGUGUCGUGUAAAAGUCAAGUUUUUCAACAAAUAAGUUUCAAACAUUUUAUCUAAUUGUUUUUUUGAAGAAUUCAAUAGAAAUAAAAAAAAUGUCUGUACUGAAUAAAAUUAAAUCACUCUCUCACAAUGAAUAUGUAUCAAUGGCUUCACUGACAUUAAAUAAAGAGUAUCGGGUAACUACUUUGAGAUCUGUGGAAACCAAGUACGGUCGAACAUUAAUAGCGAGAUUAGAAAACGAUUAGAAAUCGCUGAUAAAGUCACAGUGUCAUCAAGAACCAUCAGCUCCAAGAAGAAGACUCUACUCUAUGAUCAAUAUGGCUGCCGAACCUGUAAGAAAACAGCGUUACAUUGAUAUCACACCAACACCGCCAGCCGAGAUGAUUGACUCUAGCAGUUACACUAUUGCGUUCAGUGACAGAAAAUUUUUGCAAGUGGGCCUGAAUCCAAAGAAGGACUUCAAUGUUACAGUAUGUAUUAUUACUCCUUCACAAUAUAUUAGUAUGUCAGCAGACUAUUUAAAUAUUAUUUACGACAUGAUGGAUGAAAUAACAUUAUUUCUACAAUCAUCUCCGGUAAAAGGAGGGAACAUUAUGUUAUACCAAAAUGUCGAUUUUAAUAUAACCAAAGUAUUGCAUCGUGAUACCAUGCAUUUAGUAUUGGAUUCCAGGAUGGUCGAUGGCUGUCGAGUGUUAUUGAAUAACGAAAACAUUAAUAGACUUAUGGACUUACAGUGUACUAUUAACAGUGCAAUAUCAAGAAAAAUAAAAACACGUUUACUAUUAUGCCAUCAAAUAGACCACAUCAUACAAUACGUUGACGAUAAAUGACCAGGCCAUAAAAUUCAACAUUCAAACAAUGAUGAAAUGGUUAAAUUUAUAAAAAGUUUGAAUGAAAUAUGCGAUACUUUUCCUAAAGGGGACAGUAAUUACAUAAGCGAGCUGAAGAAUUUAGCAUACAAUGAAAUAGUCGAACGAUGGGUCAAGUCUUGGUCCGAAGAUAAGUUUCAAAUUAAUGAAAAAGAAGAAGAAAUGUGUGACGAAAAUGACGGUCCGGCAUUUUCAAUACAACAAUGUUUACCCGAGAAAAUAAUUAUAGUCCAUGGGCGUCACAAUGGGCCGAUAUCCAAUCACGUCAGAAAAUUAACCUACAUUAAUAAUUU